Molecule: ribosomal RNA, 508 nt
Filed under: uncultured Erysipelotrichaceae bacterium
Lineage: Bacteria; Bacillati; Bacillota; Erysipelotrichia; Erysipelotrichales; Erysipelotrichaceae
Description: partial 16S ribosomal RNA
Source: RNAcentral
CACGUAGUUAGCCGUGACUUUCUGGCGGGGCACCAUCAGUCAGCACCCAUUUCCUGAUGCUGCCUUUUUUCCCCCCGCAACAGAGCUUUACGACCCGAAGGCCUUCUUCACUCACGCGGCAUCGCUCGUUCAGGCUUGCGCCCAUUGACGAAAAUUCCCUACUGCUGCCUCCCGCAGGAGUCUGGGCCGUGUCUCAGUCCCAAUGUGGCCGUCCGCCCUCUCAGGCCGGCUAUGCAUCAUCGUCUUGGUGGGCCUUUACCCGCCAACCAACUAAUGCACCGCAGGUCCAUCCGCGCCCCAUCCCCCUAAAGGAUGUUUCACAGAAAGAAGAUGCCUCCUUCCUGUACAUCGGGAUUUGUUCUCCGUUUCCAGAGCGUAUUCCCGGUGCGCGGGCAGGUUCCCUACGUGUUACUCACCCGUUCGCCACUAGAGACCCGAAGGUCUCUCGUUCGACUUGCAUGUAUUAGGCAUGCCGCAGCGUUCAGUCCUGACGCCAGGACUCUAAACC